Molecule: ribosomal RNA, 424 nt
Filed under: Verrucomicrobiota bacterium
Lineage: Bacteria; Pseudomonadati; Verrucomicrobiota
Description: Verrucomicrobia bacterium partial 16S ribosomal RNA
Rfam family: Bacterial small subunit ribosomal RNA
Source: RNAcentral
UGGGGAAUAUUGGUCAAUGGGCGAGAGCCUGAACCAGCCAAGUAGCGUGCAGGAUGACGGCCCUAUGGGUUGUAAACUGCUUUUAUAUGGGAAUAAAGUGAGGGACGUGUCCCUUAUUGCAUGUACCAUAUGAAUAAGGACCGGCUAAUUCCGUGCCAGCAGCCGCGGUAAUACGGAAGGUCCAGGCGUUAUCCGGAUUUAUUGGGUUUAAAGGGAGCGUAGGCUGUUUGUUAAGCGUGUUGUGAAAUGUAAGAGCUCAACUUUUAGAUUGCAGCGCGAACUGGCAGACUUGAGUGCGCACAACGUAGGCGGAAUUCAUGGUGUAGCGGUGAAAUGCUUAGAUAUCAUGACGAACUCCGAUUGCGAAGGCAGCUUACGGGAGCGCAACUGACGCUAAAGCUCGAAGGUGCGGGUAUCGAACAGG